CUUCUUUCAUUCAAUGUGAAAAGCUUUUCAGUUUCAACAAAAUACAAACGCUUCCCCUUUCACCUUACCUUCAUUCCUUUUCUCCUUCUCUCAGCCGUUUCUCUAGGUUUCUAAGUUCGUUUAAAACCUUCUCUCAGACACAGCUUUUCCAUGUCUACCUCUGAUUUCCAGCACCUCCUCGACACCCUCCCUCGCCCUUCCACCGCCGUCUGGAACACCCUCAUCAUCGGCUUCAUCU
This 238-nucleotide long non-coding RNA is filed under the name Lotus japonicus. Its description in RNAcentral is "long non-coding RNA (LJAP_LNC000487)". Lineage: Eukaryota; Viridiplantae; Streptophyta; Magnoliopsida; Fabales; Fabaceae. The record is from RNAcentral.